CGCCAGACUCCUACGGGAGGCAGCAGUGAGGAAUAUUGGUCAAUGGGCGCGAGCCUGAACCAGCCAAGUCGCGUGAGGGAGGACGGCCCUACGGGUUGUAAACCUCUUUUGCCGGGGAGCAACGGGCGUCACGUGUGGCGCCACUGAGAGUACCCGGAGAAAAAGCAUCGGCUAACUCCGUGCCAGCAGCCGCGGUAAUACGGAGGAUGCGAGCGUUAUCCGGAUUUAUUGGGUUUAAAGGGUGCGUAGGCGGAUCGUUAAGUCAGGGGUAAAAUGGGGGGGCUCCCCCCCUCCCCGCCAUUGAAACUGGCGUUCUUGAGUGGAAGAGAAGUAAGCGGAAUGCGUGGUGUAGCGGUGAAAUGCAUAGAUAUCACGCAGAACCCCGAUUGCGAAGGCAGCAUGCCGGCUUCCGACUGACGCUGAAGCACGAAAGCGUGGGGAUCGAACAGGAUUAGAUACCCGUGUAUG
Molecule: ribosomal RNA, 468 nt
Filed under: uncultured bacterium
Lineage: Bacteria
Description: bacterial SSU rRNA
Rfam family: Bacterial small subunit ribosomal RNA
Source: RNAcentral